This 561-nucleotide ribosomal RNA is filed under the name Fusarium tricinctum. Its description in RNAcentral is "eukaryotic LSU rRNA". The stretch from base 180 to 333 matches the Rfam family "5.8S ribosomal RNA". The record is from RNAcentral. Lineage: Eukaryota; Fungi; Ascomycota; Sordariomycetes; Hypocreales; Nectriaceae.
CGUAGGUGAACCUGCGGAGGGAUCAUUACCGAGUUUACAACUCCCAAACCCCUGUGAACAUACCUUAAUGUUGCCUCGGCGGAUCAGCCCGCGCCCCGUAAAACGGGACGGCCCGCCAGAGGACCCAAACUCUAAUGUUUCUUAUUGUAACUUCUGAGUAAAACAAACAAAUAAAUCAAAACUUUCAACAACGGAUCUCUUGGUUCUGGCAUCGAUGAAGAACGCAGCAAAAUGCGAUAAGUAAUGUGAAUUGCAGAAUUCAGUGAAUCAUCGAAUCUUUGAACGCACAUUGCGCCCGCUGGUAUUCCGGCGGGCAUGCCUGUUCGAGCGUCAUUUCAACCCUCAAGCCCCCGGGUUUGGUGUUGGGGAUCGGCUCUGCCCUUCUGGGCGGUGCCGCCCCCGAAAUACAUUGGCGGUCUCGCUGCAGCCUCCAUUGCGUAGUAGCUAACACCUCGCAACUGGAACGCGGCGCGGCCAUGCCGUAAAACCCCAACUUCUGAAUGUUGACCUCGGAUCAGGUAGGAAUACCCGCUGAACUUAAGCAUAUCAAUAAGCGGAGGA